Blyttiomyces helicus is the source of this 74-nucleotide non-coding RNA. Lineage: Eukaryota; Fungi; Chytridiomycota; Chytridiomycetes. The record is from the annotation of a GenBank genome assembly.
GACAUCAUGGCCGGGUUGUCACGGCGGUCGACCGGAAAUCACUCCGCGGUCAGGUUCAAGUCCUGAUGGUGUCU